GACGAACGCUGGCGGCGUGCUUAACACAUGCAAGUCGAACGGAAAGGCCCUGCUUUUGUGGGGUGCUCGAGUGGCGAACGGGUGAGUAACACGUGAGUAACCUGCCCUUGACUUUGGGAUAACUUCAGGAAACUGGGGCUAAUACCGGAUAGGAGCUCCUGCUGCAUGGUGGGGGUUGGAAAGUUUCGGCGGUUGGGGAUGGACUCGCGGCUUAUCAGCUUGUUGGUGGGGUAGUGGCUUACCAAGGCUUUGACGGGUAGCCGGCCUGAGAGGGUGACCGGCGACAUUGGGACGGAGAUACGGCCCAGACUCCUACGGGAGGCAGCAGUGGGGAAUAUUGCACAAGGGGCGGAAGCCGUAUGCAGCAACGCCGCGUGCGGGAUGACGGCCUUCGGGUGGUAAACCGCUUUCGCCUGUGACGAAGCGUGAGGGACGGGAAUGGGUAAAGAAGCACCGGCGAACUACGU
This 467-nucleotide ribosomal RNA is filed under the name uncultured bacterium. RNAcentral's name for it is "partial 16S ribosomal RNA". It matches the Rfam family "Bacterial small subunit ribosomal RNA", at positions 28 to 506 of the family's 1533-position model. The record is from RNAcentral.